This 216-nucleotide ribosomal RNA is filed under the name Glomeromycotina sp. RNAcentral describes it as "partial small subunit ribosomal RNA". The stretch from base 40 to 216 matches the Rfam family "Eukaryotic small subunit ribosomal RNA", at positions 686 to 864 of the family's 1831-position model. The record is from RNAcentral. Lineage: Eukaryota; Fungi; Glomeromycota.
GGGUCAGUAGGUUGGUCGUGUCACCGGUACGUACUGGUCUCACUGAUUCCUCCUUCCUGAAGAACCGUAAUGCCAUUAAUUUGGUGUUGCGGGGAAACAGGACUGUUACUUUGAAAAAAUUAGAGUGUUUAAAGCAAGCUAACGCUUGAAUACAUUAGCAUGGAAUAAUGAAAUAGGACGAUCGAUCCUAUUUUGUUGGCUUCUAGGAUUGACGUA